RNAcentral lists this ribosomal RNA (301 nucleotides) under uncultured bacterium. Its description in RNAcentral is "partial 16S ribosomal RNA". It matches the Rfam family "Bacterial small subunit ribosomal RNA", at positions 509 to 807 of the family's 1533-position model. The record is from RNAcentral.
CAGUCGCCGCGGGAAUACGUAGGGUGCAAGCGUUAAUCGGAAUUACUGGGCGUAAAGCGUGCGCAGGCGGUUUUGUAAGACAGAGGUGAAAUCCCCGGGCUCAACCUGGGAACUGCCUUUGUGACUGCAAGGCUAGAGUACGGCAGAGGGGGAUGGAAUUCCGCGUGUAGCAGUGAAAUGCGUAGAUAUGCGGAGGAACACCGAUGGCGAAGGCAAUCCCCUGGGCCUGUACUGACGCUCAUGCACGAAAUCGUGGGGAGCAAACAGGAUUAGAUACCCGGGUAGUCCCUGUCUCUUAUAC